This is a long non-coding RNA of Macrosteles quadrilineatus (aster leafhopper), 636 nucleotides long. RefSeq lists it as uncharacterized. The record is from RefSeq and is a predicted model, not a curated record. The transcript has 5 exons. NCBI's taxonomy places the organism in Eukaryota, Metazoa, Arthropoda, Insecta, Hemiptera, Cicadellidae.
GAUUGUGAUGGACCGGCUAAUUCAUCAGCUGUUGGCCGCUGUCUAGCAACACCAGCUGGGGUAUUCACUGUUGAAGGUGUCUGGGAUAUAGCUGAAGUUGAAGGUUGUACUCGUCUAGAAGGGUGGGAUGGUCCAGCUAAUUCAGCAGUCAUUGCUCGCCGCAUUGCAACAUUAGCUCGUGUAUUAGACGACGACCUAUCUACAGAUAGCCAUACUCCAUCUGUUGAAGAUGCCUGGGAUACAGCUGAAGCUGGAGCCGAUCUUAGAAUAUCACGAUCAUCUUGAAAGAAGGAAUCUCUUGAACUCUGACUUGGUGGAACUACAGAUCCAGGGCUUGAAGGUGGUGAAUCUAUGAUGCUUGAAUUUGGGCUUGAUGGUGAACUAGCUGAUGCAGCGAUAUGACAGCAGAGGAGAUCCUAACUGUCCAUUAUGGACAGUUUAGGGAAUAUGUGGCAGAAUGCAGCCACGAACUGGAAGAGGAAGAAGAAGAGGAGGAAGAAGAAAUAGAAGAAGAUGAAGGAAUCGAGGCUGAUUUAGAAGAAAAUUGAUGGCUGCCCCUCUCCUCCUCCUCUACUAGCAUUAAGUAUUUAGUUAUAAGUUUGUGUAAAUAAUAUAAAAUAGAGUAAUAUAAGUUUG